AGCAGCCGCGGUAAUUCCAGCUCCAAUAGCGUAUAUUAAAGUUGUUGCAGUUAAAAAGCUCGUAGUUGAAUUUCGGGAUUGGCGCAUCGGUCGCGCCUCACGGGGGUAUGAACUGGUGCAGUCAAUUUCUCACCUUCUGGAGAACCGCGAUGUCCUUAAUUGGAUGCCGCGGGGAACCAGGACCUUUACUUUGAAAAAAUUAGAGUGUUUAAAGCAGGCAUUUUUGCUUGAAUACAUUAGCAUGGAAUAAUAAAAUAGGACGGCAUGGUUCUAUUUUGUUGGUUUCUAGGACCACCGUAAUGAUUAAUAGGGAUAGUUGGGGGCAUUAGUAUUCAAUUGUCAGAGGUGAAAUUCUUGGAUUUAUUGAAGACUAACUACUGCGAAAGCAUUUGCCAAGGAUGUUUUCAUUAAUCAAGAACGAAAGUUAGGGGAUCGAAGACGAUCAGAUACCGUCGUAGUCUUGACCAUAAACUAUGCCGACUAGGAAUCAGACGAUGUUAAUUUUUUAAUGACUCGUUUG
RNAcentral lists this ribosomal RNA (520 nucleotides) under uncultured Entrophospora. RNAcentral describes it as "SSU rRNA". It matches the Rfam family "Eukaryotic small subunit ribosomal RNA", at positions 569 to 1082 of the family's 1831-position model. Lineage: Eukaryota; Fungi; Glomeromycota; Glomeromycetes; Entrophosporales; Entrophosporaceae. The record is from RNAcentral.